GCGGUUUUAGCUCAGUUGGUAGAGCGUCAGAUUUGUGAGUUCUGAAGGUCCUGUGUUCGAUCCACAGGAAUCGGUU
Non-coding RNA from [Candida] anglica, 76 nucleotides. Lineage: Eukaryota; Fungi; Ascomycota; Pichiomycetes; Serinales; Debaryomycetaceae. The record is from the annotation of a GenBank genome assembly.